GAUGAACGCUGGCGGCGUGCCUAAUACAUGCAAGUCGAGCGAACAGACGAGGAGCUUGCUCCUCUGACGUUAGCGGCGGACGGGUGAGUAACACGUGGAUAACCUACCUAUAAGACUGGGAUAACUUCGGGAAACCGGAGCUAAUACCGGAUAAUAUAUUGAACCGCAUGGUUCAAUAGUGAAAGACGGUUUUGCUGUCACUUAUAGAUGGAUCCGCGCCGCAUUAGCUAGUUGGUAAGGUAACGGCUUACCAAGGCGACGAUGCGUAGCCGACCUGAGAGAGUGAUCGGCCACACUGGAGCUGGGACACGGUCCAGACUCCUGCGGGAGGCAGCAGUAGGGAACCUUCCGCAGUGGGCGAAAGCCUUACGGAACAACGCAGCGUGAGAGAUGAAGGUGUUCGGAUCGUAAAACUCUGUUAUGAGGGAAGAACAAAUGUGAAAGUAACUAUGCACGUCUUGACGGUACCUAAACAGAAAGCAACGGCUAACUACGUG
Molecule: ribosomal RNA, 497 nt
Filed under: uncultured bacterium
Lineage: Bacteria
Description: partial 16S ribosomal RNA
Rfam family: Bacterial small subunit ribosomal RNA
Source: RNAcentral